Molecule: ribosomal RNA, 253 nt
Filed under: uncultured bacterium
Lineage: Bacteria
Also listed under: 1 other name
Description: partial 16S ribosomal RNA
Rfam family: Bacterial small subunit ribosomal RNA
Source: RNAcentral
GACGAACCGUGCGAACGUUGUUCGGAAUCACUGGGCUUAAAGGGCGCGUAGGCGGCUUGUCAAGUCAGGGGUGAAAUCUUUCGGCUCAACCGGAAAAGUGCCUUUGAUACUGACAAGCUAGAGGGAAGUAGGGGCAUGUGGAACUUCUGGUGGAGCGGUGAAAUGCGUUGAUAUCAGAAGGAACGCCGGUGGCGAAAGCGACGUGCUGGACUUCUUCUGACGCUGAGGCGCGAAAGCUAGGGGAGCAAACGGG